CCACCUUUAUUUUUCGACGACGACGGAAAGUUCAUAAAUUUGAACGGCACUCGUGAAUUGAAAUUGAGUAUUCCGACAGCUCUCAGAGAUAGAUGUUAUUCCGAAAACGCUUGUAUAAAAUAGCAGGUCAAGAAGUCAUCUACAUCACACGUGCAUCGCGAAUGUAUCCCAUGCAAAACGGAAUCGUGGAAGCUGAAUUAAAUCAUUCCCACGGUGAUUUGAAUUGUUUCGAUGUUGAUAUUGUCUUCCCACAACCAUUGGUAAUGCAAAUAUCCUUCCUUGAUUUGAAGUCUGCAAGAUGGUUCUCAUCGUCCAGUUCCAAUUUUAGCUGAGAGUAAGACAGAAAUAGCGAAACGAAUACAGUCCAGCUUGGUGGUAAUGCGGGGGUGGUAAUGUGGAUCUGCUUCGACCUGAUAGGAAGCCGAAUAGGCUGGGGUACUUCCAUUUCGUUCGUCGUCCUCCUGUAUUGGACCUCCAUCACCAUUGAUGCCAGUUUAACGAAUGCAGCUGCAUCUAAUGUCCCUCGUAAUACUGUCACGUCGGAGAUAUCGAUACCAGCGUCGGCACAUCAUGAGAACGACGAAUGCAGGAAUGUGACCACUGACAAUAGAGAGGGUACUGGACUGUCAGUGGUCAGCCAUGGAUCCGGUUAUCCUCAUUCGCCGAUAGUGCCUCCAACCUUUCUGUACGGAGCUCUUACCUGCCAACCCUAUCAAGGAAUUUAUGUGAAUCACAUCUACUUUCAACUCGCAAAUGCCUUCUUUCUAUUGUCACACCUUGCACCAAGCGGCAUACAUGGUGUACUCUAUUUAAGGUGCACUCUACUCGUGGGCUGUGCCUUUCUUGCUUUGUGGGGCUGGACAAUAGCUUGCUGGCUGGAUGCUGCUCUCUGGAAUGCUCUCUUUGUUGCCAUCAACUUCGUCCAUGUAUGCACGCUUCUUUACAAGCUCAGGCCUAUCAAGUUCACAAGAGAAAUUGAAGAGGUAUAUGUUGCAGUAUUCCAGCCAUUACGGGUGUCUCGUCAUCAAUUCAGAAAAGUAUUAAAUUGCAUGAAGGUCAUUCGUCAGUUGAAGUAUCAAGAAGUUUAUGCACAAGAAAAGGUGACCAAAGUCGAUUCUUUAUCGUUGGUGCUGUCGGGGAAACUAGUUGUCUCACAAAAUGGGAGAGCAUUGCAUAUUGUCUUCCCACAUCAGUUCCUAGAUUCUCCAGAAUGGUUUGGUGUCUCGACAGACGAAUAUUUCCAGGUGUCAAUAACAGCUAUGGAAGAAUCAAGGAUAUUGUUAUGGCAUAGAGACAAACUAAAGUUAAGCAUAAUUAGCGAUCAAUUCUUGCAGGCAGUGUUUGAUCACAUUCUGGGCAGAGACGUAGUUAAGAAAUUAAUGCAGGUGAGUGAAACAAUGGCUGCUAGUAGUCAUCAGCAGCAGAACGGACAAAUAAUCGGUCUAGGUGGAAUUGGAGCCUUAGAAAAUGAUGCUGAUACAAAACUUUUUGUUGUAAAAAAGACUGGUGAUAGUCAAGGCAUUACUGCUCUCAUCAGUCGUCAACUUCAAGAAGAGAGAAUGCCGCUGCUGUACACAACUCAAGAAAUAUUGAAUAACACCCUUCAUCAUACAAACCACCUACCAUCUUGUACAUUUCUCCCACACCCUAUACCGUACAACGUGCAGACUUCACUGUAAUAUCCUUAUCCUACUGAUCGUGCAACACUCUAGCACAAAAAUCAUAUGUGAUGUACAUGUUAUGUUCCUGCAAUGGAUGCAUAUAUAUUACACAAAUGUCGCAGUGUAAUUCCAUUAACUGUUCUCCCUGGAUAUUGUACCAAGAGCGGCAGGAGACCCGAAUGCUUGGAGAUUGGGAAGAAUCGAAGAGACUGAUCAUGAAACACCCGUUUAAUGGAAAAAUUAUUAAAUCGAUGUCAUCCUCGACAGUCAAUAUAACAUAACAUCGGUGUUUUUACAUAACGCAAUUACAGCAAGCUGAUAUUCAUUGUGACUAAAUAAUGUGCAUAUUGAAACUAUGCGUAGAAAAAAAUUGAACGUUU
Molecule: unclassified non-coding RNA, 2041 nt
Filed under: Pogonomyrmex barbatus (red harvester ant)
Lineage: Eukaryota; Metazoa; Arthropoda; Insecta; Hymenoptera; Formicidae
Description: blood vessel epicardial substance-like, transcript variant X1
Source: RNAcentral